Misgurnus anguillicaudatus (oriental weatherfish) is the source of this 1164-nucleotide long non-coding RNA. RefSeq lists it as uncharacterized. The record is from RefSeq and is a predicted model, not a curated record. Lineage: Eukaryota; Metazoa; Chordata; Actinopteri; Cypriniformes; Cobitidae.
AUCAUCUGUACAUCUGCAGGCUGCAGCACUUCUCGCUCGUAACGUGAAACUUAAAAACACGCCAAGGAGUGGAUGCAAGUGAACUAUCAAUCUACUGAAACAGAAGCGGGAAAUGUAUUCGAAGACGAAAAUGCUCGCGCGACCUGUGCGUCAGACCCGGAUAAACGCACGCGAGCUGACAAAAUCCUGAGUAGCUGUUAUUCAACAUAAACACAUUUCCGCACACAUGAAGAUGGAUGACGAUAGUUCAUCUUAAAAUGAAACUUAUGUUUAUCAGCUUACCCCCAGGCCAUCCAAGAGAUGCUCUUAAGAACAACGCCCUGAUGUCCAAGGUCAACCAGCAAGAAGCUGAGAAGGCACUGCCAAAAUGGUUUACUGGGGCAAGGGACAGAGGAGGACAGAGAGCAUCAAGAAUGCAGAAAAGGAUGUCUGUUUGAGAAAGGUUAAAACUACAGUUGUUGAUUUGAACUGUUGUAGUUCUUUAAUUUUUCUUAAAGGAAAACACAAUCAUUUUUCAAUAUUUACCAUGUUCUUCCCUCAACUUAGAUGAAUUAAUACAAACCUCUCUUUUCUCAAUGUGUGCACUUAAAGGUGGGGUGCACAAUUUCUAAAAAAAAAAACGUUUUGGAAAAGGGAGACAGGCCGACUAUCAAAACACACUUGUAGCCAUUUAGCAGCAUGUCUACUAAAUGACAUCGUUGCCUGGGUUGCGUAUGUGUGGGGCGGGUCUAUCAAAAGAAGGUCCAGAUUCUAUUAGGGUAAGGGUGUGUUUGUUUAGAUGAUUUCAAAUAUCAACAUUGGCUUUCAUGCACCCUGCCUUUAUUUGUUGUAAAGUGUGGCGUGAAUGUGUUAGCAUUUAGCCAAGCACCAUUCAUUCAUUAGGAUCCAAACAGCAGGGAUGUGAUUUUUCCGUAUAAAUAAGGAUUUCCGUAUUUUCUGACCUUGGUGGGAUGACCCGUCUGAAUCGCGUAAAUCCGAUGAGUUUUUUUUUUAGAUGGGGGGGGUAAUCACGCGCGUGUUGUAUGCCCGUGUUGUUGCAAGUGCUGUCUCAGUAUGCCUGCGUUGUCUGUAUGCGCGCGCUGUCUUUGUGCGCGAGCUUCGCCGUCAUCCAACAUGGAUCCCAGACGUUUUCUGUGUUCUACGUCAUACACAUCAGGCAUGAAA